RNAcentral lists this ribosomal RNA (301 nucleotides) under uncultured bacterium. RNAcentral describes it as "partial 16S ribosomal RNA". It matches the Rfam family "Bacterial small subunit ribosomal RNA", at positions 509 to 807 of the family's 1533-position model. The record is from RNAcentral.
CAGCCGCCACGGUAAUACGAGGGGGGCAAGCGUUGUUCGGAAUUAUUGGGCGUAAAGGGCGCGUAGGCGGUUUGGCAAGUUUGGUGCGAAAUCUUCGGGCUCAACUCGAAGUCUGCAUCGAAAACUGCCGGGCUUGAGUAUGGGAGAGGUGAGUGGAAUUUCCGGUGUAGCGGUGAAAUGCGUAGAUAUCGGAAGGAACACCUGUGGCGAAAGCGGCUCACUGGACCAUUACUGACGCUGAGGCGCGAAAGCUAGGGGAACAAACAGGAUUAGAUACCCCCGUAGUCCCUGUCUCUUAUAC